RNAcentral lists this ribosomal RNA (820 nucleotides) under uncultured Staphylococcus sp. RNAcentral's name for it is "bacterial SSU rRNA". It matches the Rfam family "Bacterial small subunit ribosomal RNA", at positions 69 to 866 of the family's 1533-position model. The record is from RNAcentral. Lineage: Bacteria; Bacillati; Bacillota; Bacilli; Caryophanales; Staphylococcaceae.
ACGGACGAGAAGCUUGCUUCUCUGAUGUUAGCGGCGGACGGGUGAGUAACACGUGGAUAACCUACCUAUAAGACUGGGAUAACUUCGGGAAACCGGAGCUAAUACCGGAUAAUAUUUUGGAACCGCAUGGUUCAAAAGUGAAAGACGGUCUUGCUGUCACUUAUAGAUGGAUCCGCGCUGCAUUAGCUAGUUGGUAAGGUAACGGCUUACCAAGGCAACGAUGCAUAGCCGACCUGAGAGGGUGAUCGGCCACACUGGAACUGAGACACGGUCCAGACUCCUACGGGAGGCAGCAGUAGGGAAUCUUCCGCAAUGGGCGCAAGCCUGACGGAGCAACGCCGCGUGAGUGAUGAAGGUCUUCGGAUCGUAAAACUCUGUUAUUAGGGAAGAACAUAUGUGUAAGUAACUGUGCACAUCUUGACGGUACCUAAUCAGAAAGCCACGGCUAACUACGUGCCAGCAGCCGCGGUAAUACGUAGGUGGCAAGCGUUAUCCGGAAUUAUUGGGCGUAAAGCGCGCGUAGGCGGUUUUUUAAGUCUGAUGUGAAAGCCCACGGCUCAACCGUGGAGGGUCAUUGGAAACUGGAAAACUUGAGUGCAGAAGAGGAAAGUGGAAUCCCAUGUGUAGCCGGUGAAAUGCGCAGAGAUAUGGAGGAACACCAGUGGCGAAGGCGACUUUCUGGUCUGUAACUGACGCUGAUGUGCGAAAGCGUGGGGAUCAAACAGGAUUAGAUACCCUGGUAGUCCACGCCGUAAACGAUGAGUGCUAAGUGUUUAGGGGGUUUCCGCCCCUUAGUGCGCUGCAGCUAACGCAUUAAGCA